Molecule: non-coding RNA, 89 nt
Organism: Periconia macrospinosa
Lineage: Eukaryota; Fungi; Ascomycota; Dothideomycetes; Pleosporales; Periconiaceae
Source: the annotation of a GenBank genome assembly
GGGCGUCUGGUUUAGUUGGUAUAACGUUCGCUUCGCAUUAAGAUUAAUGAGUAUGUGAAAGGUCUGGAGUUCGAUUCUCCAGUCGUCCA